GAUGAACGCUGGCGGCGUGCUUAACACAUGCAAGUCGAACGGAAAGGCUCCUGCUUGCCGGGGUACUCGAGUGGCGAACGGGUGAGUAACACGUGGGUGAUCUGCCCUGCACUUCGGGAUAAGCCUGGGAAACUGGGUCUAAUACCGGAUAGGACCACAUUUUGGAUGGUGUGGUGGAAAGUUUUUCGGUGUGGGAUGAGCUCGCGGCCUAUCAGCUUGUUGGUGGGGUAAUGGCCUACCAAGGCGUCGACGGGUAGCCGGCCUGAGAGGGUGUACGGCCACAUUGGGACUGAGAUACGGCCCAGACUCCUACGGGAGGCAGCAGUGGGGAAUAUUGCACAAUGGGCGCAAGCCUGAUGCAGCGACGCCGUGUGGGGGAUGACGGCCUUCGGGUUGUAAACUCCUUUCGCUAGGGACGAAGCGCAAGUGACGGUACCUGGAGAAGAAGCACCGGCUAACUACGUG
Molecule: ribosomal RNA, 465 nt
Filed under: uncultured bacterium
Lineage: Bacteria
Description: partial 16S ribosomal RNA
Rfam family: Bacterial small subunit ribosomal RNA
Source: RNAcentral